AGGCUUAUAGCUCAGGUGGUUAGAGCGCACCCCUGAUAAGGGUGAGGUCGGUGGUUCAAGUCCACUCAGGCCUACCA
Molecule: transfer RNA, 77 nt
Filed under: Escherichia coli
Lineage: Bacteria; Pseudomonadati; Pseudomonadota; Gammaproteobacteria; Enterobacterales; Enterobacteriaceae
Also listed under: 1 other name
Description: tRNA-Ile
Rfam family: tRNA
About the family: Transfer RNA (tRNA) molecules are approximately 80 nucleotides in length. Their secondary structure includes four short double-helical elements and three loops (D, anti-codon, and T loops).
Source: RNAcentral